GGUUAAGUUAUGAAGGGCGCAUGGUGAAUGCCUUGGUACUAGGAGCCGAUGAAGGACGGGACUAACACCGAUAUGCUUCGGGGAGCGGUAAGUACGCUUUGAUCCGGAGAUUUCCGAAUGGGGAAACCCAAUCAUCUUAGUCGAUGAUUACUUGAGCAGUGAAUUCAUAGCUGCCAAGAGGUAGACGCAGUGAACUGAAACAUCUUAGUAGCUGCAGGAAGAGAAAGAAAAUUCGAUUCCCUGAGUAGCGGCGAGCGAAACGGGAAGAGCCCAAACCACUGAGCUUGCUCAGUGGGGUUGUAGGACUGAACUUUGGAGUUACCAAAGAAUCAGGUAGUCGAAGUGGCUGGGAAGCCACACCAGAGAUGGUGAUAGUCCAGUAGACGAAACCUGGUUCUCUCCGUUCAGGAUCCUGAGUACGGCGGGACACGUGAAACCCCGUCGGAAUCCGCGAGGACCAUCU
This 463-nucleotide ribosomal RNA is filed under the name Limosilactobacillus fermentum. RNAcentral describes it as "bacterial LSU rRNA". It matches the Rfam family "Bacterial large subunit ribosomal RNA", at positions 1 to 458 of the family's 2925-position model. The record is from RNAcentral. Lineage: Bacteria; Bacillati; Bacillota; Bacilli; Lactobacillales; Lactobacillaceae.